Molecule: ribosomal RNA, 402 nt
Filed under: uncultured bacterium
Lineage: Bacteria
Description: bacterial SSU rRNA
Rfam family: Bacterial small subunit ribosomal RNA
Source: RNAcentral
UAGACUUGACAUCUCCUGAAUUACUCUUAAUCGAGGAAGUCACUUCGGUGACAGGAAGACAGGUGGUGCAUGGUUGUCGUCAGCUCGUGUCGUGAGAUGUUGGGUUAAGUCCCGCAACGAGCGCAACCCUUAUUGUUAGUUGCUACCAUUUAGUUGAGCACUCUAGCGAGACUGCCGUGGUUAACGCGGAGGAAGGUGGGGAUGACGUCAAAUCAUCAUGCCCCUUAUGUCUAGGGCUACACACGUGCUACAAUGGCUGGUACAAAGAGAUGCAAUACCGCGAGGUGGAGCUAAACUAUAAAACCAGUCUCAGUUCGGAUUGUAGGCUGAAACUCGCCUACAUGAAGCUGGAGUUGCUAGUAAUCGCGAAUCAGAAUGUCGCGGUGAAUACGUUCCCGGGCC